CACAAAUCUACCUAACUCUAUGGGUACAACACAUAAAUCUACCUAACUCUAUGGGUACAACACAUAAAUCUACCUAACUCUAUGGGUACAACACAUAAAUCUACCUAACUCUAUGGGUACAACACAUAAAUCUACCUGUUGGGCCUGUUUCCCAGAUACAGAUUAAGCCUAAUUCUGGACAAUUUCAAUUUGUUUAACUAGGCAAGUCAGUUAAGAACAAAUUCUUAUUUACAAUGACGGCCUACCGGGAAACAGUGGGUUAACCGCCUUGUUCAAGGGCAGAACGAGAGAUUUUUACCUGGUCAACUCUGGGAUUCGAUCCAGCAACCUUUAGGUUACUAGUCCAAUGUUCUAAUCACUAGGUUACCUGCACCUAAAACACUUUUUCAAUGGAACUUCUCCUCGACAAGGACUGUGUGUCUGGGGAUCCGGUCCUAUAACUAGGACUGUGUGUCUGGGGAUCCGGCCCUAUAACUAGGACUGUGUGUCUGGGGAUCCAGUCCUAUAACUAGGACUGUGUGUCUGGGGAUCCGGCCCUAUAACUAGGACUGUGAGUCUGGGGAUCCGGCCCUAUAACUAGGACUGUGUGUCUGGGGAUCCGGUCCUAUAACUAGGACUGUGUGUCUGGGGAUCCGGUCCUAUAACUAGGACUGUGUGUCUGGGGAUCCGGUCCUAUAACUAGGACUGUGUGUCUGGGGAUCCGGUCCUAUAACUAGGACUGUGUGUCUGGGGAUCCGGUCCUAUAACUAGGACUGUGUGUCUGGGGAUCCGGUCCUAUAACUAGGACUGUGUGUCUGGGGAUCCGGUCCUAUAACUAGGACUGUGUGUCUGGGGAUCCGGUCCUAUAACUAGGACUGUGUGUCUGGGGAUCCGGCCCUAUAACUAGGACUGUGUGUCUGGGAAUCCGGCCCUAUAACUAGGACUGUGUGUCUGGGGAUCCGGUCCUAUAACUAGGACUGUGUGUCUGGGGAUCCGGCCCUAUAACUAGGACUGUGUGUCUGGGGAUCCGGUCCUAUAACUAGGACUGUGUGUCUGGGGAUCCGGCCCUAUAACUAAAAUAACAUAAUCUGGGACUCUGUGCCAUUCAUACAAACUCUGAUAAGGUUAUCGAAUGAAUCAAUAUGGUGUAAGAGUGAAUGAAUCAAUAUGGUGUACGAGUGAAUGAAUCAAUAUGGUGUACGAGUGAAUGAAUCAAUAUGGUGUAAGAGUGAAUGAAUCAAUAUGGUGUAAGAGUGAAUGAAUCAAUAUGGUGUACGAGUGAAUGAAUCAAUAUGGUGUAAGAGUGAAUGAAUCAAUAUGGUGUAUGUAAGAAUGAAUCAAUAUGGUGUAAGAGUGAAUGAAUCAAUAUGGUGUAAGAGUGAAUGAAUCAAUAUGGUGUAAGAGUGAAUGAAUCAAUAUGGUGUACGAGUGAAUGAAUCAAUAUGGUGUAUGUAAGAAUGAAUCAAUAUGGUGUAUGUAAGAAUGAAUCAAUAUGGUGUAAGAAUGAAUUGCGUUUUUUCACUUUUGGUACAGUAUGUUAUGUUGGGCUAUAUGGUCCCUACUUCGUCUAAGGGAAAUGACGAUAUUCAUUUGCCUCGAACUCUAGGACCUGGGUUAGUGUACUGUUGUUGUCUUUACACUGGUUAAUAUCAUAGAGAAAAGCCCCAACUGUCCUGGUGCAAAACAUGGCAAUGAGGUAAAGCAAUAAAAACAUCUUUCCACCACAGAUCAACAAUCAUAAGAGGGAGGGACUACUAAUCUAAUCUCACAGAGCCAGACGAGAGGCUCAGAAUCUGGUAUGAUAAGGUACAGGGCUGCCCAGCCCUCUUCCUAGAGAUCUACUGGUCCUGUAGGUUUUCAGUCCAACCCUCUUCCUGGAGAUCUACUGUCCUGUAGGUUUUCAGUCCAACCCUCUUCCUGGAGAUCUACUGUCCUGUAGGUUUUCAGUCCAACCCUCUUCCUGGAGAUCUACUGUCCUGUAGGUUUUCAGUCCAACCCUCUUCCUGGAGAUCUACUGUCCUGUAGGUUUUCAGUCAAGGUCUGGUACAAUAUAUUAGAACAAACCAACUCUGUAGCAGUAAAGUCUGACAUGCGACAUUAGGAGGCGACAAGAUCUUUGAUACAGUUUGGAACAUCUACUAUGUUUUACUCCAUUGUUGAAGGUUGGGAACGAGGCUUUUCAGAACAACAACAAACUCACUGUCCACAGCACAUCUGAAACUAGACCUACACUUUGUUCAUUAUAAUGGUAAAUUGCUUGGUUCAGACAAAAGGGUGAUUAUUGGGUUACUAAAAGGCAGUAGAACAGAGAUCCUCCAUUUCAGGAGGGGAAAAAACCUACCGAGAUGUCUGUGAAUAACUUUAAAUGCAAAUGGAACCAAUUCUGGGGAUGAUUCCACCAACUAGCUGACAUAUGUUCUGUUCGAUCCCUAGUUAUGAAAAUAACAGGACACGACUUGACAGAUAUCAUCGUCGUCUACAAGCAGUGGUGGGGACAGAUAGAUGAGGAUAGAGGAGAGAGAGAGAGAGAGGGGGGACAGACAGGUCCAGCCUGGAACUGUCUGUAGUUGCCAGUCUCGCCUGUAUCCCCAUACAUCCCUGGAGUUUAGUCCACUGUCUGUUCUCUGCAGAAAUAGUGGCAGAGGUUGAGCUCUUGAUCCAUCUCUGGUCUGAACAGCUGGGCGUGACAAUUGGGAGAUGUUACCCCAAAUCUGGAUGUGUCUCACGUGAAGAGCUGCGGUCUGGACAUUUCCCCACGAAGUCUGGCACUCGUUCACUUCGCAUCUGUUUAGGGAUUUGAGUCACAAAUGAGAGAAUGACAAAGUAUGUAGCUAGUAGCUGGUAGCUAGCUACAUAUCAUUAUGAUAUGGCUGAGAAGACCUUUGUCAAAUGCUGGACAGGUUGUUGCACUGUCAGAGAUGAUCUUGUCUGGAAGCUGGAGAGGCAGC
Oncorhynchus tshawytscha (Chinook salmon) is the source of this 2927-nucleotide long non-coding RNA. The record is from Ensembl. NCBI's taxonomy places the organism in Eukaryota, Metazoa, Chordata, Actinopteri, Salmoniformes, Salmonidae.